CUGAUGAAAAUUAAAGGGCUGCAGUAUUUUGACUGUACAAAGGUAGCAUAAUCAAUAGUCUCUUAAUUGGUGACUUGUAUGAAUGAUUGGAUAAGAUAUAAACUGUCUCUUUAUAAUAUAAUAGAAUUUAAUUUUUUUAUUAAAAAGUUAAAAUAAAAAAAAAAGACGAGAAGACCCUAUAGAGUUUUAUAAAAAAUUAAAUUAAAAUUUUUUAUAUAAUUUAAAUUAAAAUUUAAUUUUUUAUUUUGUUGGGGUGAUAAAAAAAUUAAAUUAACUUUUUUUUUAUUUAUAUUAUAAAUAUAUAUAUAUAUAUAUAUAUAUAUAUUUAUGAUAUAUACCCAUAAAUAUAUGAAUAUUUGCUCCACAUUAUAUGAUUAAAUGAGAAUAUCACCCCGGGGAUAACAGCGUUUUUUUUUUUUUUAUAUCAUAUAAAAAAAAAAGUGCGCGCCCCC
This 452-nucleotide ribosomal RNA is filed under the name Plutella xylostella (diamondback moth). RNAcentral's name for it is "partial large subunit ribosomal RNA". Lineage: Eukaryota; Metazoa; Arthropoda; Insecta; Lepidoptera; Plutellidae. The record is from RNAcentral.